GAUGAUUGGAACCGUUCAAUGGCAGGUCCCACCAUGGCCAAGUAUGAUAUGCAAGAGUCGUUACUACCCAUUUGAUGUAUUGAUUGAUAAAAGCGUAGAAUGUUUAAAUGUUAUGAUGAAUAGGUAAUAAUGACGAUGAAUUCUCUUACUGAGGUUCAUCGAUCCAAACGGACCCAAAGUUUAGAAAAGACCCAUCACAACAACAGUGCCUUUCGCUACAAUCUUCGCAGGGGCAAAGAGAAUCACGAAGAAAAAGAUGGAUAAAACUAAGAGAGAGAGAGAAAGAG
Molecule: long non-coding RNA, 287 nt
Organism: Magnolia sinica
Lineage: Eukaryota; Viridiplantae; Streptophyta; Magnoliopsida; Magnoliales; Magnoliaceae
Exons: 2
Source: RefSeq, a predicted model, not a curated record